CCUACGAGGGGCAGCAGUGAGGAAUAUUGGUCAAUGGACGAGAGUCUGAACCAGCCAAGUAGCGUGAAGGAUGACUGCUCUAUGGGUUGUAAACUUCUUUUAUAUGGGAAUAAAAUGUUCAACGUGUGGGAUUUUGUAUGUACCAUAUGAAUAAGGAUCGGCUAACUCCGUGCCAGCAGCCGCGGUAAUACGGAGGAUCCGAGCGUUAUCCGGAUUUAUUGGGUUUAAAGGGAGCGUAGGUGGAUUGUUAAGUCAGUUGUGAAAGUUUGCGGCUCAACCGUAAAAUUGCAGUUGAGACUGGCAGUCUUGAGUACAGUAGAGGUGGGCGGAAUUCGUGGUGUAGCGGUGAAAUGCUUAGAUAUCACGAAGAACUCCGAUUGCGAAGGCAGCAUACCGGCGCCCUACUGACGCUGAGGCACGAAAGCGUGGGUAUCAAACAGGAUUAGAUACCCGGGUAGUC
RNAcentral lists this ribosomal RNA (460 nucleotides) under uncultured bacterium. RNAcentral describes it as "partial 16S ribosomal RNA". It matches the Rfam family "Bacterial small subunit ribosomal RNA", at positions 338 to 795 of the family's 1533-position model. The record is from RNAcentral.